This is a long non-coding RNA of Pseudophryne corroboree (corroboree frog), 1002 nucleotides long. RefSeq lists it as uncharacterized. NCBI's taxonomy places the organism in Eukaryota, Metazoa, Chordata, Amphibia, Anura, Myobatrachidae. The transcript has 3 exons. The record is from RefSeq and is a predicted model, not a curated record.
AGACUUAUAUAAAGCUGUGAUACUUCCUUUCCUCUCCCAGCCUGAUUUAGAGACUUUUGCUUUCCCAUUAAGAAGCAAUACUGCUGAACUGGUAACAGACUGCUGAAGCUCUAAUACAAAUACACUGUUAUCCAUCAUCAUUACUGCAAAACCCUAGGAGAAUGGCCUCUGAAGAUAUUUGGAGAGAGGAAACCCUGCCUGGAUUUUUUGAAAUUGUUCUUCUUAGUAACAAUCAGCCAAAGGAUAACAAAAUCUACAUUAUGUACCAUGGCACUACAUUGGAUGCAGCCAAACAGAUUAUUCAGAAGGGUUUUAAAAGAUCUGAGGAAAAAGUCAACAUGUUAGGAGCAGGGAUCUAUGUAAGCAGAGAUAUAGAAAAGGCAGGGAGGUACCCGCUUGGUAGUAAACAUAACCAAGUUAUUUUAAAGUUGAGAGUGAAUGUAGGCAAGGUGAAAAAAAUAGAUUGCCAAGGUCAUACUCUGCAGAAGACAUGGCAUGAUUCUGGGUAUGACACUGCCUGGGUGCCUGAGCACUGUGGUAUGGUGGGCAGUGGAUUAGAAGAGGAUUGUGUUUGGGAUCCCAAAAGGAUCAAGGUGGUCGGAGUUGUGAAAGCCCCAGAAGAGGAGGAGGAUAAUCUGAAUGAAUUAGUUAAAAAGUAUAAAAAAUAAAAUCUAUAAAAACAUAUACUGACAGAUGUUACGCUGCACAUUUUCUUAAAACUGUCAUCUGCCAUGUUUUACCAUUAACUUCAUAGUACUCACUCAAUCUAUAUACAUAGCUAAUCAUCACUGAUUCUUACUAAAUCUAUUUCUAGUUUUCUCACAUAAUUGUUAAUGAUUUUAACUUUCUAUACUCUAAUGUAACGAUAAUAAGUUAUGUAACUAACGGUAAUGACCAUAAAGCUUGAAAGAUAUAGUAAAAUCCAGCGAGGACCGAUGGUUGAUUGUAUACCUGCUCUGUAUUCCAUACUGUUUUUUUAUUAAAAAUCUGGCAUCAACCAUA